RNAcentral lists this ribosomal RNA (472 nucleotides) under uncultured bacterium. Its description in RNAcentral is "partial 16S ribosomal RNA". It matches the Rfam family "Bacterial small subunit ribosomal RNA", at positions 28 to 507 of the family's 1533-position model. The record is from RNAcentral.
GACGAACGCUGGCGGCGUGCUUAACACAUGCAAGUCGAACGCUGAAGCUUGGUGCUUGCACUGCGUGGGUGAGUGGCGAACGGGUGAGUAAUACGUGAGUAACCUGCCCUUGACUCUGGGAUAAGCCUGGGAAACCGGGUCUAAUACUGGAUACGACAUUUCACCGCAUGGUGGAAUGUUGAAAGGGGUUUAUUCUUUUUGUAUUGGCUGACGGCCUAUCAGCUUGUUGGUUGGGUAAUGGCACACCAAGGCGACGACGGAUAGCCGGCCUGAGAGGGGAAACGGGCACAAUGGGACUAAGACAGGGAGCAGACGCCUACGUGAGGCAGCGGUCGGGAAUAUUGCACAAUAGGGGGGAGCGUGAUGCAGCGACGCCGCGUGAGGGAUAACCGCCUUCGAGUUGUGAACCUAUUUCAGCACAGAAGAGGAGAAAGUGACGGUACGUGAAGAAGAAGCGCCGGCUAACUACGUG